RNAcentral lists this long non-coding RNA (4158 nucleotides) under Cucumis sativus (cucumber). Its description in RNAcentral is "long non-coding RNA (CSAT_LNC001839)". Lineage: Eukaryota; Viridiplantae; Streptophyta; Magnoliopsida; Cucurbitales; Cucurbitaceae. The record is from RNAcentral.
AAAGAUGUCCUAUCUAAUACAAUAGUUGAGUACCAAAUCGCUUUUGUUAACGGAAGAAGAAUUACAAAUGCAAUCCUUAUGGCCAAUGAAGCCAUUGAUUACUGGAAAUGUUAAAAAACAAAAAGAUUUGUCUUUAAGCUAUACAUUGAAAACGGAUUUGACAAAGCUUUUAUAUAGGAAGUUGCAUCUUUAUGAUCCCAUGUGAAAGCUUUUACCUAUGAGUUAAUUUCAUUCAUUUUAUGAUAAUGAUAUAUACUAAAAUAAGAAUUAUGUAUUGUUCACACGAGAUUGAUGAAUAUAAUUGAUACAAUCGUUAGUAUUUACUCAUUUGAUGCUUUCUCUCAAAUACAAGUUAAAACUUAGAACUUCUUGGUCUUCGUUCUUCAGGAUGUUGUAGUUGGAAGUUGAUAUGAACUUCGAUCUUCUCGAAUCCAAGGAAAGUUUAAUCUUCAAGUUUUUAGUCCUUCAGAAGAUGUUGAUCUCCAGGUUGAUACGAACUUGCACAUCUUGGGAGCUUGUAGAAGUUUGAAUUUUCAAUUCUUCAGAGUUUCAGUAAUUUAGAGCGUCAAUUCUUCCUUCAAUUCAAAAAUCACCAAAAUGAAUGACAAUGGUCUCUUCUAGAGAAAUUUCAUGGGUUGGUAGGCUUGAGCGUGUGCCCAUUUGUUUCUUGGACUUUGGCUUAGCCCUCAUUUGUUUGUUGGGCUUGGGCCCAUUUGCUCAUUGAAUUUAGGCUUGAGCCUAUUUAUUUGUUGGGCUUGGGCUCAUUUGCUUAUUCAACUUGAGCUUGGGCCUAUUUAUUUGUUGAACAUGAGCAGAUCUUGUAUCAAUCUUAUGGUUAGGAGAAGAAUGAUAGUAAAAUCAACUCAACAUCUUUAAUCAUCUCUUACAAAUAGGUGAAGAUGGAUCAAAGAAAAUUCAUUCAUCAAUCGUCUGUAAAAAUAUAUUAUUUUGUUUUGAAGCUUUCUGUCGUCGACCAAAUUUCAUCACCACUUGGUUUCAUUCCACCAAUUUGUUUCUUCCUCCGGCUUCUUUCCGUCAUCACUUUCUUUUCGUCGUUACGAUCGUCGCUUAUCUUUUUAUUGUUUAGCUUUUUUUUUUUAUGAAAAGACUUGUCGGAGAGAAGAGUUAUGAGAAAAAUAGGAAGAAAAAAUAUAUAUAUGUAUACAGAAGAGAAAGGAGAAGAAAAAAAUGACAAAUGAGAAAAGAGAAAACAGAGAACAGAGAAGGGAGAAAGAAGAAAAGAAGGAAAGAAGAAGAGAGAGAAAAAGAAGUUGGGAGAAGAAGAAAAUGAAAAAGAAAGUGGGGUUUGUACAUGAUAGAUGAUCCAACUCUAUUAUGACAUCCACUAGUGCUGCGAUUUCUUGGAUUUGUAUAUGAUAGACGAUCCAACUCUAUCAUGGCACCUACUGCUGCUGAGACUUCUUGAGUUUAUACAUUAUAGACAAUUCAACUCUAUCAUGGCGCCCACUGCUUCUGCGACAUCUUGGGUUUGUACAUGAUAGACGAUCCAACUCUAUCAUGGCGCCUACUGCUGCUGAGACUUCUUGAGUUUGUACAUGAUAGACGAUCCAACUCUAUCUGGCGUCCACUGCUGCUGUGAUUUUGGGUUUGUACAUGAUUGACAAUCCAACUCUAUUAUGACAUUCACUGCUGCUGCGACUUCUUGAGUUUGUACAUGAUAGACUAUCCAACUCUAUCAUGGUGCCCAGUAGUGCGGAGACUUCUUGGGUUUGUACAUGAUAGACGAUCCAACUCUAUCAUGUCGCCCAGCAGUGUCGUGACUUCUUGGGUUUGUACAUGAUAGACGAUGCAACUCUAUCAUGUUGCCCAUUGCUUUGGCUUUUUGGCAGCUUGAAUUUCAUGAUACUUAUUUUCUUAUAUUUUCUAUUUUCGAAAGCAAGUCAUUAGCAUUGCCUCUCCUCUGGUGAUAUUUUUUUUUUUUGUAGAAAAAUGGUUUACUUCACAGAACGAUUUGUGAAUGGAAACAGACAUCUUGUAAUACUUUCUAAUAAAAAUCAACCGAGAGAAUAUGGACUUAGUCUUCUUGUGGAGAAGAGGUGGGCUGGCCCUUUUGCAGAUUGUUGGCCACGUUUGGACAACAAUUCGAUUCUUCUCAAAUUAUCUGUGAAAAUACCUUUGUCUGAGGGGAAGAACUUAUGGGUCUUGCAAUCUUCCAUCCAUGAUGAGGCUCUUACUUCUGAAAGGGCUCUCACUCUCGGGCAUCGUCUAAUUAAAGGUCAAACACGUUGGGGCGCUGUGACUAAAGUUCGUGGAGAGUUUUGCUUUAUUGAUUGCUAUUAGGAGUGGCUAGAGUUUGUACUUGGUCAAAAAAUAGGGUAAUCCAAGCUUUAAGAUUUAUAUUUAGGCUAACUUAAACAAAUCUUAAGUCUAGAUAAAACAUCCAAGUAUAACCAUUAUACAGGAUUUUAACCUAUGAUGUCUAGGUGAUAAACCAUUUUUAUUACCUCACACCUCUCACGAAUGCUCAUAAAACUAGGUUAACUAGGCUCAAGAACUGAUUACGAUCUCCAGGUAGGAGGUGUUCCGUAAACCAUCAACUUAAGAACCUCCAACCUUAGUCAUCUUAUCUGACUUGUUGACAAGAUUGAACCAGGUGAGCCUUUUGUAACCAGUUUUACAAAAUAUCGACCUAUUUCUAUGAAAAAUGGAAGAUAUGUUUAACCUAAGUGAGCAUGCAUUUAAUCUUUGUUAUUGAUUUUAAAAGUCUAAUUUAUUUUAUAAUACUUAUAAAAUUUUUUAGACUUAAUCAAUCAUUUUAUCAAUAUAUAAACUUAUAAAAACAAUCAAUUAAUAUGGAUUUUAAUUUAUUUAACUUUAAUUAAAUCAUAUUUAAUUAAAUUAAAUCAAACAAUAAUUAAUUAAUUUGAUUAAAUCAUAUUUAAUCAAGAAUAACUUAAUUAAUUAAUCAUAUUAAUUAAUUUCCAUAUUAAUCAAUUAACAUGCAUACAAUACAAUAUAACCUUUAUAUCAUACAUUUUAAUGCAUUAACAUGUUAACCUAUGGUGGGAUUUGAAAUCUAUAUGACAUUCAAAGUGCACAUACAAAUUUAAAGUAAUUUAAUCAUGCAUCACAUGCAUAAAUAAAAAAAAACACCCUAAAAUGGACUGAUUUUUUGGCUCCUAAAUUAAACUAAGUACUAAAUUAUUACAUAAUUACUUUGAUGUAGUACAGAACCACUCCCAAAAACUUCGAUCCGGCUGAAAAACCAACCGAAACCGCUUGAACCGACCCAAAAACCAAAUUUAUUGGCUUGAACCGGCCCAGGCGCACACGGGUCGGGCGCAGGUGGGCGCGAGCGAAGGCAGGCGCGCGGGCGCGCGGGUCGCGAAGCGGGUCAAGGCGGGUUUUUGGGUCUGUGACCUUCUUUUCUUCAUUUUUUUCAAUUCUCUCACCCGGUUGAACCAAUUACAGCCUAACUUCAACUCUAAUGACUUUUUUUAUUUUAAAAAAAAUUACAAACACUUUGCAACAAUAAAAAUAAGCCAUUAACAAGGCUAAUUACAAUAAUUAGAACAAAAACACUUAAUCUAGAGCCAAAAUCAUAAUAUAUCCAUUUUAGUUCAAACCAAAAUUUAUCUAAUAAAUAUGAACCCACCACAUGCAAUUGGGUAAAAAUGAAGCAUGCUCUGAUACCACAUGAUAGAACUAAGUCAUGCACAGCGGAAAAAGAAUCGAAUUUCUACCCUAAUUACCACAAUUAACAUGUAACCAUAAACUAAUCAAAUUAGGGUUUUAAGAAAUAUUACCUUUGAAGCUUUCAAAAGGUUUGAUAUCUUCUUACCAAUUCUAACCGAGACCACCACUAGUACUCAACUGCUAUCCUCUAGACAAAGAACCGGGUUGGGGGACCCAAUUUUGGUGUAGAAAGUAAUGGAGAUAAAAUGGUAUUGGAAGGUUUCUUUUUUCUUUUUGUUGAGAUGAUGAAAAUGAUAAAAGAGGCAAAAGUUCUUCAACAUUUGAAAACACCUCUAUUUAAAACCUAAUUACAUGCAAAAAUGCAUGCAAUUCAUUUGCCAAAUCUCAACACCUAAUGUUCCACUAACAAUUAGUGAAACUUAGUGGGCUAGGUGUCUAUAUCUCAUAUAGCCACAUAUCCCACUAAGAGUUAGUGGGAAAAUCCCAAAAUGUUGGAUUUUC